Halalkalicoccus jeotgali B3 is the source of this 100-nucleotide non-coding RNA. Lineage: Archaea; Methanobacteriati; Methanobacteriota; Halobacteria; Halobacteriales; Halalkalicoccaceae. The record is from Rfam.
CUGAAGGGCGCGUACGGGUCAAUUGCGGACUGCAACACCCACUCUCCCUCAUAACGCCUCCCGGAAUGGAGGUCCAGCAGGGGGAACGCGUGACCGUCAG